This 253-nucleotide ribosomal RNA is filed under the name uncultured bacterium. Its description in RNAcentral is "partial 16S ribosomal RNA". It matches the Rfam family "Bacterial small subunit ribosomal RNA", at positions 524 to 776 of the family's 1533-position model. The record is from RNAcentral.
GACGUAGGGCGCGAGCGUUGUCCGGAUUUAUUGGGCGUAAAGAGCUCGUAGGCGGUUUGUUGCGUCGGCUGUGAAAUCCCGAGGCUCAACCUCGGGUCUGCAGUCGAUACGAGCAAACUAGAGUGUUGCAGGGGAGACUGGAAUUCCUGGUGUAGCGGUGAAAUGCGCAGAUAUCAGGAGGAACACCGGUGGCGAAGGCGGGUCUCUGGGCAACAACUGACGCUGAGGAGCGAAAGCGUGGGGAGCGGACAGG